UACGGAGGAUGCAAGCGUUAUCCGGAUUCAUUGGGUUUAAAGGGUGCGUAGGCGGGAAAAUAAGUCAGUGGUGAAAGCCUACAGCUUAACUGUAGAAUUGCCAUUGAUACUGUUAUUCUUGAGUACAAAUGAAGUGGGUGGAAUGUGUGGUGUAGCGGUGAAAUGCUUAGAUAUCACACAGAACGCCAAUUGCGAAGGCAGCUCACUAAGCUGUACUGACGCUGAGGCACGAGAGCGUGGGGAUC
RNAcentral lists this ribosomal RNA (245 nucleotides) under uncultured bacterium. RNAcentral's name for it is "partial 16S ribosomal RNA". It matches the Rfam family "Bacterial small subunit ribosomal RNA", at positions 524 to 769 of the family's 1533-position model. The record is from RNAcentral.